GACUGUGUCACCUGCCCCCUGAGCGUUCUGGAGCGCCAAGCUUCGCGAUCUUUGCCUUCCGGACUCGCAGACCGGCUCAAAGCCUCCCCUCAGCCUCUGGCUCCGUGAUUGGCAGGCAGCUGACAGAAGAAAAGUUAAAAGGUUAUUUCUGAAGAAGAGUUUCCUUCAGUGCCCUAAAGACCAACUGGAUAGAAGGAGAGCGGAGCAGAGGCUUGGAAGCUUGGAUCCCUCCUCCUGCACUCCCUCCCGGCCCCGACUCCGGAACAAAACAAGCAAACAAUAAAGCAAACUUGUUGCUCUUUUGUCUCAAAGUUUUGUUUACAUUUUGGACAAAUUUUUACGGAUACUGGAGAUGAGAAGUGGACUCUGCUCUGUCCUGAAAACCUGGAAUCAUAACAUUUCAUGGCUAGGACUAGAGUGUCCUUGGCGCUGUGUUUCUGGUUGUCAGCGGCAGGCUGCAAUUUUAAUUCUGUAAACGUGGCUGGCUCAGCAGGGAAGGAGUGUAUGAGGAGACUGUGUA
This 520-nucleotide long non-coding RNA is filed under the name Homo sapiens (human). Its description in RNAcentral is "non-protein coding lnc-CEP44-1:6". Lineage: Eukaryota; Metazoa; Chordata; Mammalia; Primates; Hominidae. The record is from RNAcentral.